This 2076-nucleotide long non-coding RNA is filed under the name Anas platyrhynchos platyrhynchos (common mallard). RNAcentral describes it as "lncRNA (ENSAPLG00000022619.1)". The record is from RNAcentral. Lineage: Eukaryota; Metazoa; Chordata; Aves; Anseriformes; Anatidae.
GCUUAGUGUGGGUUCGUUCAUUCAGUCAAGAUCUAAAAUUUCUGGAAUUACUAUUCCUUGAAGCAGACACAAAAAUGAACUUGAUGCCACUUUGGGAGAAGUGCCACCUUGGAGAGACAGUGCACGUGAGAACGAUGGGAAAAGAAGCAGCAGCCUCUGCUCUUGACAUAACUACAGUUCCACAGCCACCUCUCCAUCUGGCUCAGCAGGCAGUCUCUGUUCAACGGGGGCCCACGGCAUCAGUACUGGCGUUCGGCAGGUCAGAAGCGAGACGUGUUGGCAGAGCCGUGCUGGCCUCGAAGAGUAUUUACACAUGAGGACCGAGUGGAUUGGCGUUACUGUGCACAGCAAAAAUCACCCUUUCUCUGGCUUGGCUGGCUUUAACCAGUCCAUCACCCGUGUGCUGAGGCUGGUAGAGGUUGGCUCUGUGGCGGUAGGAGGAUGAGGGCUGGGACUGGCAGGCGGGAGCAUUAAUGAUUGUAAUCCUGUUGCACUGACUCAUUCGGUGACCUCAGGUUAAUCACUCGACCUUCUCUUGCAGUCAGCUGCAGCUGUGAAAAUGGGCAAAAGCAAUACUUCAUCAGCCUCCAGAUGCUGAAUCUGAACUGUUUUCCUGGGGAAGCAGCUCCUACAGAGCGUUCGUUUCUAUCAUAAGUUAGAAGAAAAAUGGACAAAAGUGGAUAGUUAACUUGUCAGUAGUUCGUUAGGGAGUUGUCCCCAUCAGAAUGUGGGAUUGGCGGUAUUGCAAUGUACACACUUACAAUAAUGUAUGUUCGACUUUGUUUUCCUAACUGUAAUGUUCUGAAAAGUGACAUGUGAGGUGUUUUUCAUUCGAACCUUCUCCAAAAAGAGAAUUAUGCAGAGCAAAAAGUUAUAAAACACUUCUAUUUGACAUCUACAUGUAUGUUCCUGUGUUUAAACCAUAAUAUAUCCUUAUAUGAAAGCUUGUGUAUUUUAUUUAUGGAUAUUUGAAAUUAGUUACUCAUGUGCCAUGGGGGACAAUGAAUAUCGAAGGCUUCGAGCCAAUACAAGAAUUUUCUGUAAUGUGAAGGAAGGCUUCUUUGUUUCGGUUCUGAAGGAUUUUUAAAUAAUUGUGGUUUGGAAAACCCAGUGCACGUUGAGCCCGUUGCUGUGUUUUAACUGUGGAAUUGAUUUCCAAAUGGGAGCACAUAAAUUGGCAGAUGGACUCUGGCAUUUCAAUGAUUAAACGGUCCUUCCAGAGGGCUGAGAUGUAAGAUGGAGACAACUUGUAUAUAGGUCUAGAACUUGGCAUAUGCAUUGGGAUGAAGACAUGCUAGAAAAAUUGAGGUUAAGGGACAAAAUAAUCUGUGUUCACAAUAACCUGAAACCCUGACUGUGAAUUUAGUUUGGAUCCAAAUUCACCUUUAACAAACACCCUAAAAGCGCAGCAUGCAGUGCGGCUUGGUUGGGGCUUAUUGUCAUUUUUGACUGGAUGUUUUUGUGUAAAGACUGCAACAAGAGAAACGUUUCCCCUUUAGAAAGUAUUGUCUCUGAAGUUGUAUGUAGCGUUGCAUGGUGUUGUGGUUUCUCACAGGGAUUUUUUUACAUGGUACGUAAUACUUGUUAACAGUCACAUGAUAUCCAUCCAGUUGGUAAGAGUGCAAGUCAGGGCUAUCCCCUCAGGCAGACUUCAUUUAAACACUCUUCUUUGUGCCAAAUUUCCAGGCAUUUUUCUCUUCUAAUGAAUGCAUGUGCUCUAGAAGGGAGACCUUUGUAGCCCUUCUCUCCCCUUCCCCCAGUUCUGCACCGAUUUCAGGGCUGUGGGUUGCAAGGGGCUUUUACUCAAAGGUUGCUCUGAAGAGUUACAGAAAACUGUCAAAAUGAUUAAGAGUCUGAAAUUCUAUAUUACGGUAAUGUUUUUAAAGCAUUUCAUUCAACAGACAAUAUAACAUGAAAUAUAACAAAAAAUCAAAUACCUGGCUCUUACAUACCCCUUCCUGAGGAGCUGCUGUCACUUUCCUGAAAGCAAAUAUUUUGAGAAGUGUGUCUAGCUCUGCAACGUGAGGAAAAAAUGCGAAAUAGUCUGUGCUGGUGUCAAAUCAUUUUUUAAUAAAC